This 277-nucleotide ribosomal RNA is filed under the name uncultured bacterium. RNAcentral's name for it is "partial 16S ribosomal RNA". The record is from RNAcentral.
CUGCUGCCUCCCGUAGGAGUCUGGUCCGUGUCUCAGUACCAGUGCGGGGGGACCUUCCUCUCAGAACCCCUACGCAUCGUCGGUUAGGUGGGCCGUUACCCCGCCUACUGCCUAAUGCGCCGCAUGCCCAUCCCUGUCCGGCCGAAGCCUUUCCUGCCUCCGGGAUGCCCCGGUGGCAUGUACGCGGGUUUAGCCCGCCUUUCGGCGGGUUGUCCCCCUGACAGGGGCAGGUUGCAUACGUGUUACUCACCCGUGCGCCGGUCGCCGGCGGAGAAAG